Long non-coding RNA from Bombyx mori (domestic silkworm), 1201 nucleotides. RefSeq lists it as uncharacterized. The transcript has 2 exons. NCBI's taxonomy places the organism in Eukaryota, Metazoa, Arthropoda, Insecta, Lepidoptera, Bombycidae. The record is from RefSeq and is a predicted model, not a curated record.
UGCACGCACUGCUCGCGUGCCGCUGGCUGCGCGCGCUCAUCUACUUCUGGCGCGCAUACUGCGCGCACUGCUCGCGUGCCGCUGGCUGCGCGGGCUCAUCUACUUCUGGCGCGCAUACUGCGCGCACUGCUCGCGUACCGCUGGCUGCGCGCGCUCAUCUAUUUCUGGCGCGCAUACUGCACGUGUUGCUCGCAUGCCGCCGACUGCACGGUGCUGUACGACUGGCAGUGACGCAGAGGGCGAUGUCGCUUAGUCUGCGGCCUGCUGCUGCGGACUACCCAACGGAUUAUCUAUCAGGACGGUCGAGCGGGACGCCCGCCACACGUGGUGCAACCUCACAUCAUGGGAGCAGACUGGAGCUGGGACGGCUGCCCUGCUUCCACAUCAUCCUUACGAGUGGACCCCGGUGACAUGCAGCCUUUUCUUCGAAAUUAAUAUGUGAAGGUCGAGGUGGGCACUUCGGUGCUUUACUUCCCAUUUUUGAGGUUGAGGUGGGCACUUCGGUGCUUUACUUCCCAUUUUUGAGGUUGAGGUGGGCACGACGGUGCUUUACUUCCCGUUUAUUUUUUUUUGAGCAGUAUGGUAGAUGCGGAUUCGGCCGGAUCUUGCGUCCCUACUGUUUAGCUGUGUUGUGUCGGUAAUGUUCAGUACCUGUAUCGGUGAAUAUUGCCGACAACAGCGCGCUACUGUUUUAGACGUUUCCUGUACGGGCUAACUCAGUAAAGGAAUCGUGCAGGUGUCUCAAAUUGCGCAGUUUGGGACAGUUGUGCGAUAUCCAUUCUUCUCACUUCAAAUGUUUAUCUUUGGCUCGUCCUCGCUGCAGAUGUAAGAGUGCACGCUUGCGUCUGUAGUAGGAAUUCUAAAUUUUAGAAAGUUUUAGAGCAUUAAGGUCUGGGUGUAUUUUUUUUUGUUACGUUACAGAGGGUGACCUUGUUGAUGCAAGCUCUGACGUAGCUGGAAGAGAUAUGCUUCUGCUGAGAGAUGAAGCGGUCGAGGACGCCUCGCCAUCAGGAACGGCCGUGUUACCGAAUCCUGGCAACCCCCGACCGAGAGCCAGCGCUAAAACUAUAAAAACGAUCCCUCGCUGCGCCUUUGCCUCUUUUUUGUGCGUGGCGUUCGUGUGUGCGGUUCUUGUUGAAAAAUGUUUGAGACUUGUGUAAUUUUAACAGUUUUCGUUAAUAGUAAAUCGAAAUCAUUUUGU